RNAcentral lists this unclassified non-coding RNA (268 nucleotides) under Basidiomycota sp. RNAcentral describes it as "partial contains small subunit ribosomal RNA, internal transcribed spacer 1, and 5.8S ribosomal RNA". The stretch from base 1 to 47 matches the Rfam family "Eukaryotic small subunit ribosomal RNA", at positions 1785 to 1831 of the family's 1831-position model. Lineage: Eukaryota; Fungi; Basidiomycota. The record is from RNAcentral.
AAAGUCGUAACAAGGUUUCCGUAGGUGAACCUGCGGAAGGAUCAUUACAAAUCGAGGGGGGGGCUUGGGUGGUGGUGGGGAGUGGUGGAGGUGUUGAGAGAGGCGGCUCUGGCCGCCUAGCCCGACACUGGCCUACCUACCCUUCAACCCGCAAGGCGCCCUCACAUACGCACAAGGCCGCAAGGUCUUGAUGUUUACGCUUGCUUGUUUGACAGAUUUAUUGGUGACAAAAUAUAGACAACUUUUAACAAUGGAUCUCUUGGCUCUU